Molecule: small nuclear RNA, 165 nt
Organism: Trichosurus vulpecula (common brushtail)
Lineage: Eukaryota; Metazoa; Chordata; Mammalia; Diprotodontia; Phalangeridae
Product: U1 spliceosomal RNA
Exons: 1
Source: RefSeq, a predicted model, not a curated record
AUACUUGCCUGGCAGGGGUAAUUCCAUGAUCACAAAGGUGGUUUCCCCAAGGUGAGGCUUAUCCAUUGUACUCUGGAUGGGGCAACCCCUGCGAUUUCACCAAAUGUGGGAAACUUGACCGCAUAAUUUGUGGUAGUAGGGCACUGUGUUCAAUGUUCUUCCCUG